Priapulus caudatus is the source of this 913-nucleotide long non-coding RNA. RefSeq lists it as uncharacterized. Lineage: Eukaryota; Metazoa; Priapulida; Priapulimorpha; Priapulimorphida; Priapulidae. The record is from RefSeq and is a predicted model, not a curated record. The transcript is spliced from 4 exons.
AUAGGCGAUAGGUAACAGACGAAGGUGCAUGAGUGAGAUCUGUUUCUCUGUGUCUUAGUGUGAUAUGUGGCUGUACCAACUGUACUAUAUUUGCUUGUGAGCAUUGCCAAGCCACAUUACUACCACUAGUAUGCAUAUAACCAGUGCAGCGUGUGACGUACGUGUACGUGUUGCUUGCGCCCGAAGAUUGUGUAACGUAGCUGUUUGACAAGUCGACGAGACGCCCUCGAUCGCACAUCGUUACUACAAGUGUCCAGAGCUAGUGGAUUAUCAGUCCGUGUACAUAACGAUAGACCGCUGGUUGGCCUGGUCAAACCUGUUUUGAAGUCGCCAGAUGGCACAGCUAGUACGCCUACGUUCAAACGUUUACUGCGGCCGGCCGGCUAGGCCGGCAGCACAACUGGUUACUGCGUGCGAGUUUGCGACUUACAAGCGCCCAGAAAGUAAAGUCGUGAGCAAACAACAAUGUCAGUUUUCCGGCAACAUCCAGUGAAGCCGGGAGAUAAACCUAAACGGGUCCAGCAUCGCAUUCGUUUAGAUGUCAGAGACAUUCCGGAGUUGCAAAGGGUGAAGGAAAUCGCGGGAAUUUCACAAAAUGGCGAUUUCCUUGAUCAGGGUGCGUAAGGCAUCACGGCGCCACUGCUAGUGAAAUCACUGCGCCUGCAGCUGCUGCUGCGCCAACUUCUCCGACUACAUCUGCAGCUGUGGAAACACCUGCGAGAACUCCGGAGCGAUUCUUUCGCUCAACGCCAGUUUCAAAAGGUAUCGCGCCAUCAACACCUUAUAGUGGAAAAAAUCACAACCCAUUCUGGGAUUUGUCGCCAAUAGCCGAGGUCGAGCCUGAGACAUUCUUCCACUUAGCUCCGGCUGCACCCAGCGAUAUCUUGUCUGCACAAUGACGGUUGACGAGGAA